This is a long non-coding RNA of Felis catus (domestic cat), 6168 nucleotides long. RefSeq lists it as uncharacterized. NCBI's taxonomy places the organism in Eukaryota, Metazoa, Chordata, Mammalia, Carnivora, Felidae. The transcript is spliced from 5 exons. The record is from RefSeq and is a predicted model, not a curated record.
GGGAUGGAGGGAGCUGGCAGACCCUGAUCGGGUGUGGAAGCUGGGGCAGGGUAGGCGGUACCGUGGCUCCCACCCUUAUCUGUCUCAAGACUUAGCCCAGGACCUCCCACAUAGUAGGUGCUCAGCAAAUACGCCGUGAGGGACCCUGUGAGUGGAUGGAUGAAUCGCUGCGAGCCUCCUCACUCAUAAUCCGCAGGGGUUUCUCAUGCCCCCCUGGAGGGGGGCAAUUAGAAAAGGGUCAGGGGGCGUUGUAGAGGGUUGGCCAGCCCCCCAGGGCUCCACAGGCGCAGGGGAACUGGCUUCUUGCCAUCCCUCGGGGGCUUGGCAGACUGCCAGGUUCACAAGAUGGGCAGGUCCCACAGCAGACUGGGAAAGUGGUAAGGGCAGGGCCUGGCCUGAAGGACAAUUUCUUUGACACCCCCAUUAGCCCUGUCUAGGGCUGAGAGGGCCGGACGAAGCAGCUUCGCUCCUGGCAGGGGAAAGGGGGAACCAAGGACCCUGUUUCUCCUUUGGUUGCUCACACGGACCUGCCAGGAGCCAUUCCGGAUUGGCUGCAGGAAACGUUCUAUAUACAUAUGGGAGACUCCGUGUCUCUUCCUCCCAGGACGGGCGAGGGCGGCAGAUGUUUCUCUAGAGAGAAAGCAGUUCCCCUCGCCCCCAUCCUGCAGUCAGAAUAGCAAUGCAAGGGGACUAACGUUUGCGGGGUUCCUUCUACGCACCACGUUCCACUACAGCGUCAGCUUUCCGCGUUAGGAUGUCAUUGUCAUGGUAACAAUGCAGGACGGGUGUUUUUCGCAGAGGAAGCCUCUGAGGUUUGGAGAGCUGAGCUCCGUAGCUACGGCCAUGCAACCAAUACGUAUCAGAACUGGAAUUUGAACCUGGCUCUCCAACAUUCUACAACUCGUGUUCUCUCGAAUACAGCCUUUGGCUCUGUUCAAAAUAGUCCUCUGGGCUCUGUGCCUAAAGCAAUAGAAGAUGUAGACCAAGGACAUCAGACUGGGGACAGAAAUAUUCCGGGACAUUUUUGUGGCUGAAUGCUCUGGACCUAGGGGGAGAAAGCCUUCAGACAAAUCUGGUAAGACAAGGGCCUGGGCAGACAUCUCCUCUGUUCGUCCCACCCAGCGGGAAGGGUGCUCCAGGCAGAAGGCAGAGCAUGUGCCCAGGCCUGGAGAGGCGAGAGCGGAAGUGCGUUCGCUGCUGUUAGAGCAGAACAAGCAAAUGAGGCAUCGGGAGGAGGUGUGGCCAGGGGGCUGGGCUGGAUUCCUGGACCCUUACCGUCAAACUCUUUCUGGAGUAGACUUCUGCCCUGAAUCAGGCCAUUCUCCUGGGUGCCCUGGAAAACGAUCCGGUGACCGCGCUGUCCAGAGCGCCUCUGACGGUAAUGAGGCUCAGCCCGGAGACCAUCCGAGUGGGUGACAGACUCCCAAAUAUCAGAGGCUGGCAUACUUCCUCUACAAGCCAGUGGGUACACGGUAUCGAAGAGAAGGGAAAAAAAUAAUCGUAGCAGUGUCUGAAGAACUUAGACACGGCGUCUUGCUCUCUCGUAAUGUAUGUUUCAAGCAGCCGAAGGAGUAAAAAAGUCAGAUUCACACGUCUCCUGCUGCUCGUGCAAAGAAAAGGAGUGGAAGUUCCAAGGCAGCCAUUUCACCCGUAAGAUGUGUGGUGUUGGGAGUCGUAAUAAAAAAUAAAUAUUUGGUCUCCGGGCCCUCUUCUGGCACCGGGCUCCUAAAACCUUAGGAAUUUCCGGGGAGGAAGGUGAUAGAGGUGUCAUUUGUUACGUUAACGAGGUGACCUUUGGAACCACCUAAGGACGGGGCUGGUUGCCAGGAGAACUAACCACGCGAUGGGAAGGUCAAGGUCGGAGUUUUCAGUCCCUCCCUCAACUGCCUGUGAGAGGAGGAGGCUGGAGGUCGAAUCAAUGGCCAAUGGCCAAUGCUUUAAUCCAUUGUGACCAUAGUGAAGCCUCGGUGAAAAUCCCAAAGGACCAGGUGUGGAGUGCUUCCUGAUUGGUGGACAGCUUUCAGAGAGCUUCCUGAUUGGUGGAGACAAUAUUCACAGUGCUUCCCGAUUGGUAGACAGGGUUCGAGCGCUUCCUGAUUGGCUGACAGGCGGAGAUUCGGGAAGAGUGGGCUCUCAGAGACCGUGGAAGCUCCACCCCAUGUCCCCACACCCGGCCCUAUGCAUCUCUUCCACUGGCUGUUCCUGAAUUAUAUCCUUUUAUAACAAACUUGCAAUCUGCGUGGCCAAAUGUCAGUGCCAAGUCAUUCAACGCGCAUUACCAACUUCUUCCUGUGUGCCAGGAACUGGCCCUGCCCCGGAGGACAAGCAAUGAACCCUGUAGACACAGCCUGUCACUGAGCUUGAUACAGAGACUGCUUUCUUUUAUUUUAUUUUGUUUUCUCUCUUCCUCCUGCCACUAUGGGUCAAAGUGUCUAUGCUACUUUCUGAACUACAGGUUUUUCAACAUGUUCUCUCAGGGAUAUACGGGAGGGAGGGAGGGUGUCUCUUCAGCUCUAAGAUUCCAUGAUGAGGAGCCUGGAGAUUCUUGGGGGUUGGCUGCUUGUCCGAUGCUACUCUCGCGACUGUCUUCUCUCCGGCAACUCACACUUCGCAAGAGCCCCGCUCCUAGGCUACACAGCAGGUUUCAAGGUAUUUCGUGUUGGUUUCCGACCACCGUUUCUAGGUGGUCCCAGGCCUCUUAAUUCCUCUGGUCUCCUGAAAGGCUGGUUCUGGCACCUGGAUGUUUGUUUCCUCCUGGAGGGCCCCAGGCCCACCAGCAGGCACACCAGACACGUGCUUCACGUCUGUGGAUGGACGAGAUCGGGGGGAAACACAUCUGGUCUGUGUCGUGACAGACAGAUGGCGAGAGGCUCGGGAGCGGACGCGGGAUGGAGAGGUGGGGAGACGGGGCUGGGAGGUGAGAACGUUUGAAGUCAUUCCCCAUCAGCAGGACUCUGAACGGAAAACCCUUUGUAGAGGAAGAGAUCUCAGCAAGCCUGUAAUCCCUCAGGCCCAUUUGACAGAAAGGAAGGGGAAGCUUGAGACGCGAGACUACAGUGUCAUAAAUGCCAGAGCUGGGACUUGAACCGAGGUCUUCUGCCUCCCAGUCCAAAGAGAGAAGAGACCAGAGGAAACCCCCAGGGGAUGGGGCCAGUGGUAAGGGAACAAGAAGAGCUGCUGGCCCUUGAAAAUCACCAUUGCCUGGGCCACUCAGCCUUUUCAGCUGCAUCCAUUUUACGGGUGAGGUUAAAUAACUUGCUCGAAGCUUCCCACUGAGAACGCGGCAGAGCCGUGAUUGGAACCCCAAAGCCAUGGGGCGCCCGAUGGCAAAUGUUGCCCCCAGGGGAUCAGACAACAUGAGCGUUGUUUUGCUCUUAAGACACAGUCAUCCUCUCAGAGGAAACCAAACCUUCCUCCAAGAAGACUUCCCUGAACGCGCCAAGCCACAAAAGCAUCUUCCUGAUGCAGAUGUCUGAACUCCUAGGCAAUGUGCUUUCUCCCACCUUGUUUCCCACGGAUCUGAACGUCCACAUCUUAAAGUUGACCACUGCCUGCUUCAGACUUCCUGGUCCCGGUUCCCCGCACCCCGCACUUCCCACAUUUUAAUUCAGUACCAAACUCUUAGGAGAUGCUCAAAGAAGAUGUGCUGAGUCACGGGGGAAACUCAGAGGAAGAGAAACCAUGGGAAUAAGGACUUGCCUGUUACUGAUCCUUGACCUUCCAUUGAGAAGCUCUCAGAAAAAAAAAUACCAGCCGAUUUUAAAAUCAAGAUGACUUUUGUCAUCUGCCAUUGGGGAGAAUACAAGUCAAAGCCCGUAGGCCCACGUGGAUAUCCCAGAAAUGGACUGUUACCUCCAUUGGUUGAUUAAAUUAGGAUGUGUUCCCUCUGCGUCACCUAAACUCGUUACGUGUAAGAUAGUGGGCAAAAUGUCAUGGUAUAAAGAUAGUCAUUUAAUCCUGACUGUAAGCCUCAGGCACGUGUCCCCUGGCCUUUCUCAGUCCUAAGUCCCUUAAUGUUUUCACCUGGUGCUCACUUGCCAACACUGGGUCACGGCAAUGACUGACACCUGCCCCCCCCCCCCCCCAAUCACCUCUCUCUUUCCUUGGGGGCUCUAAACUUGACCUGUCAGCCCUUUGACUCUGAGGGAGAAGUGAGCUGGAUACAGAGACUACAGCGUGGGGUGGCUUAAAAAUUCAGGAUUCAAGGGGCGCCUGGGUGGCGCAGUCGGUUAAGCGUCCGACUUCAGCUCAGGUCACGAUCUCGCGAUCUCGCGGUCUGUGAGUUCGAGCCCCGCGUGGGGGCUCUGGGCUGAUGGCUCAGAGCCUGGAGCCUGCUUCCGAUUCUGUGUCUCCCUCUCUCUCUGCUCCUCCCCCGUUCAUGCUCUGUCUCUCUCUCUGUCUCAAAAAUAAAUAAACAUUAAAAAAAAUUUAAAAAAAGAAAUUCGGGAUUCAAGAUGAGCACGGCUGGUCUAACUGAAAAUAACCUGGAGAAACGAUCAGCCCAAACUCUCAGCUGAAAGAAACCCAGCUACAGAAGCGCCAUCACAGCAGGGAGCCCCCACGUCACCCUCAAACCAGGAUGGAAGGCCGGGAGAACUAAGUCCCCAGUACCCUGCCGGUCACAGAACAAACUCACUCACAAGCUGGAUGGCCCCAUUCCUCUGCAUCGGGGCUCUUCCUCUGUCACUUCCUAGCAGCAUAACCAUGGACACGUCACUUCCCCCUCUCGAGCCUCCAUUUCUCUCCCUGAGAAAUGGGCAUACUGCUCAGGACCUCUUUAGAGGGUAGCGGUUGAGACAAAAACCCUGCGAUGGGGCCUGUUCCAGGCAGGCGUUUGAUUUUAGCUAGUUUCCAUUCUUUCAGCCUUCGUUUGCCCAAGGGCCUGGGGAGAGCCACUUUAAUUUCUUUGUACCCCAGGCUCUGUCCCCGGUGUAGGGCUUGUGGAGGUUUGCUGAUCACCCCAAGGUGUCUUGUGGGAACUGAAAACAGAGCCCGACUCACGGAACGGAAAAUGGGUCAGGCCCAGGGCCUGUUUAGCCAAAGAGUGGCUGCUAACCGCACCUUACGCUUCUGCCUUAGGAUCCGGAGGGAGUCUACCCUCCCCCUCUCGCCAGCUGCCCCCAGGGCUGAGCCUCCAGUGUCCAGGUUUGAAGCAGCCUGAGGUUCUGAGGUUCCUGGUGCAGAAAUAAGGUCACGGUGAAGAUAUGGCCGUUUUGAAACCCUGGUGAACUUCAAGGACCAGCGCAGAGUGAGUCUCGAAACUGCCUCUUCCUGACGAGUGGGGCUGCGAGAGUGAGGGCCUAACUGAGCUAACAGGCACAGAGACCGGCGAUCAUGGAGCCUUUGGGAGAGGGGGCUCGAGGGAGCCCUCCCAAAACAGGUCCCCUUCCCCGCCAGCCCCCACCGAGGACAUCGCAGCAAGAAUCAUCCCGACGGAGGAGUUUGCGUGCUGACCCAAAGGGUGCAGGGGCUUUUCCCUUUGCUGGCUUCAGUUUAGUGGGACACAUUUCUCGAGAGCCCAAGGCACCACGGUUGCCCUUGUAGGAAGGAGAAGUGGACAAGGUCACAGAGGAGAGCAGGCCAAGAGCCGGCAGUCCUGCCUCUGUGCUGGGUCUGUGAGACCUUGAGGCCUUCAACCUCUGGGCUUGGGGCCUCAGUUUCCCCAUCUGCAAGCAAGGGUGCUGGACUACAGCAACUCUCCAGUCCUCUAUCUCAUCGGCACGCCAGUAAGGAGAGAUCUGGUCCUGGCCCCAUCCUUGCCUUAGGCAGGACUGACUUGUUCCCAAUAAAAAAAAUCUCAAAUCCAGAUUCAGUGGCUUUGUGGCUCAACCAUUUCUCAAGAAAUAAACGCGCUGGUGACUACGGGGAGGAGAACGUCCAAACUGGCCCUGAUUUGUGUGGACUGAUGCACGGGCCCCUUUCCUGCCGAGCUUUCCAACUGGCUGAGCGACUCCCGUGUGGCUGGGGAGGCCUCUGCCCACUGGGAUUUGGAAGUUCAUGGUGAAGUCUUGUGAGUACGACUCACCGCAGGGUCCCUGCCACUCCAUUUACAAAAGGGACACAGGGGCCUCAAAAAGCCCACAACCUCCACAGGUUUCUGUGAAAAUUUCCAACCCUCCUAAUGUAUGCGAAUACCUUAAAAAUAUUUUUUUUUAACAUUUAUUCAUU